AUUGAACGCUGGCGGCAGGCCUAACACAUGCAAGUCGAACGAGUGGCGGACGGGUGAGUAAUGUCUGGGAAACUGCCUGAUGGCGGGGGAUAACUACUGGAAACGGUAGCUAAUACCGCAUACCAUCAAAUGGGCCCAGAUGGGAUUAGCUAGUUGGUGGGGUAACGGCUCAACAAGGCGACGAUCCCUAGCUGGUCUGAGAGGAUGACCGGCCACACUGGAACUUAGCCACGGUCCAGACUCCUACGGUAGGCAGCGGUGGGGAAUAUUGCACAAGGGGCGCAAGCCUGAUGCAGUCAUGCCGCGUGUAUGAAGAAGGCCUUCGGGUUGUAAAGUACUUUCAGCGGGGAGGCGUUACCCGCAGAAGAAGCGCCGGCUAACUCCGUGCCAGCCGCCGCGGUAAUAC
RNAcentral lists this ribosomal RNA (406 nucleotides) under uncultured bacterium. RNAcentral describes it as "partial 16S ribosomal RNA". It matches the Rfam family "Bacterial small subunit ribosomal RNA", at positions 30 to 526 of the family's 1533-position model. The record is from RNAcentral.